ACUCUUUUUAGUUUUUUUCUGAAUAUUUACAGAUUGACAAUGAACAAUUCUUCAACAAAUAUUUAUUGAACACCUGUUGUGUACCAUUCUUUAAAAAAAAAAAUUUUUUUAACGUUUAUUCAUUUUUGAGAGACAGAGAGAGACAGCAUGAGCAGGGGAGGGGCAGACACAGAAUCCGAAGCAGGCUCCAGGCUCCGAGCUGUCAGCACAGAGCCUGAUGCAGGGCUCAAACUCACAAACUGAGAUCAUGACCUGAGCUGAAGUCGGAUGCUUAACUGACUGAGCCACCCAGGUGCCCCUGUUAUGUACCAUUCUUGAUGGUGAGGAUAUAGCAAUAAAUGAGACAAAGCCCUGGUAGUUCAAUAAAUACUUGUAAAAUAAGUGAAUGAAGGACCUCUUCCAGUUGUUUGUUUUAGUCUAGCCUACUUAUUCCUUUUUAUAAUCAGUUUUAAGCUACUGCUCCAUUCUCUUUUUUCUUAGGAUGCCUUGUCAGAGGUGGAAUGCUCAACCUACCUACCCCUGAGGACCCUGGGAGACAGGCCUGAGGAGACUGUGCCCCAUAACCCUCUGGGGACUUUGGUCAAGACUGAUACCAAACAACUUUUAAACCGGUUGAGAACCUUAAUGUGAAUUCAUUGCACAAGCGGUCCCAUCUCUGUAUGAUCUUUGGAUUCUGCCCCCAAUGCAGAACUCUCCCACUCACUUACAAAACCUUCAUCCCUGGUCCCCUCAUUUCUCUGAGGUCUCACACAGAAACUCUUAAGAGGAAUUUCCCUCAACCCACUCAUUCAAAUUACACCCACAUUUCCCCUCAGACCCUGCUUUGUUUGCAGCCCUGGAGGGUUUUCCCCUCCUCCAGUAUCAGAAAGUGGGGAAACUGAGAUACUUCUAGCUCUCUAAUGUCAUUUUCAGGCCAUUAUUCUUCCUCCAAGAUAUUUACAUGCCAUUCCUCCUGCUAUGGAGUUCAGGCUAAACUCUCCUUCAUGUUCUUGGCUAUUCCUGGUCACUUCUAUACUAGGACUGGUACGAGGCUUCCUCUUCUCCCCAAUCCUACAUAAUUCUGGGUUGAUUGCAACACCUUGACUUACUGAUCCAACAUUCCAAGCCCAUAAUUCUCUGUUGUUGUUUUGUAAGCUAACUGCUUUAAUCUUCCUUUUAUAAAAAAGACAGUUGGGUUUAACAAGAGAUAACAACAAAACCACAAAUACUUGAGCUACCUACCUUUGCAGCUGGAUGUAGGAGCUCCCUUGUUCUUUGACUCUAAUGACCUUUACUUUUACCCGACUUUAGACACCCAUUACUACUACACAUUUCAUUACAUGGAAGAGUUCCAACUCCAAAAUCUUAACUCUAACAUCACUGUGACCACCAGGUCCUGAGCUUCCAACUUAAUCACUUCUUUCACUUCUAAAUUGUCAUCAGCUCUUUGACCUUAUCAAGACCUCUCUUGACCAGAGCUGAUCAUACCUUCUUUGGCCUACCUUUUCACCCAGUCUGAAUAGGGUGGAUAUCUUGAACUGUCCCUCCCCAGCACCUUCCAUCCCCUUAUUCCCUUAUCAAUCCACUCAAUGUGUCCACAGACUAUGAUCCAGGAGCUACAUAAUAAUGCAUCUUAUCUGCUCUUGUACCCAGGCGGCUGGGUGUUGCUAGAGAAAACAGCAGAAAUAUAGAUUGGUACCAUUCCAGUAGAUUACACGUUCCAAGGAUUAUACAUUCGUGGUUUCCAAUCUGUUAGGCCCUUGACACUUGUUCUCUAACCCUUUUACUUAGUAUUAUUGUCUGUUCUCUUCCAUUCCUCUCCCUUUCAACCUCUCUCCUAAACGAUGGCCACUCUUCUUAAGCCCCCUAACUCUCAUCUCCCUGUCAACUUGCAACCUUACAUCUCCGCAAAGAAUAGCGAAGCCAUCGGAGAAGGUCUCCCAUCAACUACCAACCCCAGUCACAAACAGCGAUGAGUUUACCCCUCAUUGUAUUUUCACCUUGAGCCUCAAGCAGGAUGCAGUAAACAUCUCCCUGCUUGAGACCAAUUUCCUACACAGCUGGCUUCCCAACUAAACCAGCCCCAGCACCUCACCAUGCAUAGUGGUUGGCACAUAAGUGCUUCAUAAAUGUAUGUUGAAAUGUUUAAUUGACCAUAUCCACCUGAACUGAUUUACAUCCCCUCCUUUUUCUUCAUCAUUCUCCGCUGAGCUUCAACAUUUACUGGUUCCUUUCACUCAAGUCAAUAAAUGUGCCUAAAUUUAACAUCUUAAAACAACAAAACCUUCCCACACCACUUGGUUCUACAGGCAAGAUUCUACCUCUACUAAUCUGUUGACACUGCUGGCUCAAGAAGGUUACUAAUUGCCAAAUCAAAUGGACACCCUUUAGUCCAUUAAAAAAAAAUGUGAUUUUUAUUGUUUUUAGAAUUAAAAUGACCUCUAUCAAAUAUAUACUCAUUUCCAAAAUCUGGAAAAAUAUAGAAAGUGGACAUACAUAGACACUCUAUAAUCAUGACAAAUAGAGUUACCCACUGUUGUGACACAUUUCUUGAAAUUCUGGGCAUUUUUUUUUUAAGAUCUUAUUUUUAAUCUCUACACCCAACAUGGACUCAAACUUACAACUUCAAGAUCAAGAGUUGCGUGCUCCACUGACUGAACCAGCCAGGCACCCCUUGGGGCACUUUUUUUUUUUUUUAAUUAAAAAUAAAAAUUUUUUAAACGUCUAUUCAUUUCUGAGAGACAGGCAGAUUGCAAGCAGGGGAGGAACAGAGAGAGACACAGAAUCCAAAGCAGGCUCCAGGCUCUGAGCUGUCAGCACAGAGCCCGACAUGGGGCUCGAACCCACGAACUGUGAGAUCAUGACCUGAGCCAAAGUCAGACACUUAACUUACUGAGCCAUCCAGUUGCCCCAAGGGGCACUUUUUAUUAUAUAGAAGAGAUAUUUCUAAUUUCUUACUUCAGCAACCUCCAAUAGCAUUUCACAUUGACUCAAUUCUUCCAUUAAACUCUGUCAUUGGGCACCACAUCUUCCAGAUUCUCUUAUUUUGUUGGGCCCUUUCUUUAUUGCCUUCACAUGUUAGCUUUCAUCAGGGCCAGCCCUCCAGUCAUUUUGCUCUAUAUGCUUUCACUUCCAUAGUAUUACUAAGUGUACUGUGAAAUUCACAGAAUCUACAUUUCCUAUUUUGAUUUUUUCACCUUCUAGGCUCCUAAAUGCAAUAACUUAUGGGUAACCUAUUCUUUGAUGUCCUACAGGCACCUCGUAUCAUCCUUUCUGCAACACAGAACUCAUGAUCUUCCUUGUUAAACUUGCUCUUUCAGUGGUAGUUUCUCUCUAGGUUAUAGCAUCAUCCUUUGCCCAGUAACUGAGGCCAGAAACCUGGGGAUCUUUUAUUAGAGUGCUUUCUCUUCCCAAGUCCUACACCCCAUAUCCAGUUCUGUUGAUUGUGCUUCCUGUGUAUCUCUUGAAUUUGUCCACUCUUCUUCAUCCCUACUGUCUUUACCUUCUUUAGUUACUAAUCAUAUCUAGCCUAAGUACUAUAGCAACACAACAGUCUGUCUUAUUUAUAACUAGCCUGUGGUAACAGUUUACUAAGUGGAGUGUAGUACAGAAUUCCCCACUUAGGUAAUGAUGCUUCAUUGCUAUGUCAAAUUUAUGCCACAGGUUGAAUCAUCUUUUCUUUACAACUGCCAUAUCCCUUAACUUUCCAUCCUGUUAACAGCACCUCUAAAUACAUCAAUUUUACCCUCUCCAACCUCUUGCCCACACCGUAGUCGGAAAGCUUAUUCUAAAGAGCCAAUCUGACUUGUCAUUCUUUUGCUCAGUCUUUAAACAGCGCUUCUCAUUGCCUCCAGGAUAAAGUCCAAAGGGCCCUCUGUGAUUGGACUCCUGCUUCCCUCCACCCGUCUCCAGCCUCACCUGCUGCAUGGCAUGCUACAACUACUCUCAAUUACUUCAAGUUUCCAAUUAUUGCAAUGUAAUGGAAUUACAUCUGCAUCUUGUUACAUGCUUCCUUUUGGAAGACCCCCUUUCCUGACAUAACCUUUACCUGUCAGUCUUACUGUAUCAGAUUUCAGCUUACUAACUCCUUUCUGUGGAAGGAUUUUUCUGUUCUUCUACCUCCCCAAAUUAGGGAAGUGCUUCUAGAACAUUUUGUGCUCAUCCCUUCUUGUAUUCUAAUUGUCUUGUCUACCCAUCCUUAUUAUAUCCCUCUAUAGUCUGUAAGCUCCUUGACGGCUCCUUAUGUGCUGUUGGAAUCCCUGGAGAGGGCUUUGCACACCUUAUGCUGUUUAGUCAGCAUGACCACCCUUCAUAGUGGGUACCACAUCAUUCCUGUUUUACAAGUAAGUAAGCAAAGAGAGUUGAAGAAACUUGUCCUGAGUUACCAGAAUAGAUAAAAACCAGACAACUUGAUGCUAGAGCCAGUCCAUCACUAAAUCCUUCACCUUCAAAUUCCUUCUCCACAUGUUUUGGCAUUGACCUAAAAAUAUUCUUCUUUGCCAUCCAUCAGGUCCCUAGGCAUGCCUGCCUGUCAUAGCCUCUGUCAUGUGGCUCCUAUCUGCCCUGUUGGCCUGGUACCAGCCACUGCCCAGGACUUGAUGCUGCUGUUGCAGAAAUACCACCCACUCCACACGGUCCCGUCCUUCUCUAAGUGUUGGUCUGUCUACCAAAAUGCCCCUUGUCACCUUACCUUUCUGGAGAAAUCCUGUUCCUCCUUCAGAACUUGCUCCAUAAGUGUUCCUGAUCACUUUUUCCCCAUCCCUUUGCAGACACCGUAGCGACUCCUGCCUCCAUUCUCAGAAGCCGUGCCACUUCGGCAAGUUACUGCUUUAGUUUCCUCACUUGGACAAUGGCAGCAGUAAGACUGCUUUCUCAUGGAGCUGCUGUGAGGGUGUGUUAAAGCACUCGGCAUGGGGCUUGACACACCAUAAGUGCUCAAAACAUUUAGCAAUUAUUAUUUGCUCAUCCCCAUUCCUCUAUGUAGCUAGGCCUACUUGGGUACUACCCAAGUUCAACACGGUAGCAUGAUUUCUUCACGUGGAAAAAGGAAGCACCCACAUAUCACUUAUAUUUUAGCACAGCACCUGGCAUAUUUUGGGCUUUUAUUAAGUAAUCAAACUGGACAAUUUCAUUUCCACCACCAGUAUUUACCUAAUGAUUGCAGCCCUUUGGAUGGUCCCUUCUUGGGAUUCUUUUACUACAGAUGGACUGAUGAUAUGCUGCCUUGCAUUAUAUGUAGAAGCAUCGUCUCAAUGAGGCUUCAAGUGCCUCCAGGGCAGACACCAUCUCUUACAUGGUCUAUCUGCCCAACAACAGCUAAUAUUUCUAACUGCAAAGUGGGUGUUCAGCAGUUACCGGUGAAUGAAAAUAUUCUUGCCCAAGCACGGGAGGCCUCACCUCAUUAGUAAGUCCCCAGUCUCUUAAGAAAAGUUAGCUAACAACCCUUCUCCUGAUUCUCCUUCCCUUAGAAUUCUGCUUAGAAUUUGCAUUUAUUUGUAUGCCUCUGUCAAGUCCUAGCUUCCCUUUCCUAGUUAACCCCCGUCAAGGCCCGGUAGAGGGCACUAUACACCCGAGGAUUGCUCGUGUGAGUACUGCUGGCUCACUGCAGAUAUUCUCAAUGGAAAGGCUCCAAGUUUUUUUUAUUUUGCCUGCAUUUUCCAUGCCCGGGCCACAUUAGCUUAAAAUAAAUGCUGCUGGACAAUAAUAAUGGUGACUUCAUCCCUGCCACCCUGUGUAUCAGAUGGUCAAGACGACUGUCAGUACAAUCAUCACUCAAUUAUGUUGGAGGAGUGGAAGAACCCUUACCACACUCUUUGGGAUGUGGGCAGGAAUAGCUACUUGAGGCACUGCAGAGCAAUCUGUCCUGCUUGCCUGGCCCUGUAGUAUGGGGGUGAGGGAGAAGGAAUGGCAAGGUGCUACACUAAAAUAGAGAUGGCCACAGUCCUUUCUCAGCCCCUCAGGAUCCCUCAAGGCUACAGCUUAGAACUAAGGACCAGGGAAGCCAGGAAUAUUGGAAAAGUCAUAUAUAUAAGCCGAGAGACUAUCUCGAUCUCUUCAGCAACCUAACUUUGCCACCUCCUAAAUAAUUUCUACACUUCAACUUUAUCUGUAUUAAAACGAACCUGCACCAAAUGAUCCCACAUUCAGCCUCACUGAUCUCACUCCCCAGGUGUAUGCACCUGGCAAACAUACACUAGGGAAGUCAUGCUCAAAAAGAAGUCAUGGGAUUGGCUGAAGGGGAAUAAAGAUGAGAAGACUAACCCCACACUACAGUAAACAUUCUGUGUGUGUACAGCUCCUAGCUUUGAGUUUGUAAGUUUCAAGUAUGUGAACUUUUGCAGAUGUCUUCUUUCACAAAGACAAUAAACCCCACAAUGGUAGGGAAUGUCUUUAAUGUACCUCCAUACCACCUGGCUGGCUCAGUGUCUAGCAUGCGGUUCAGAAAGGCUGAUGGCUAAGAGGCAUCACCAUCUCCUGGCUAAAGCAGAAGACAGCAAGUCCGUAACAUCCUGAGGAACUGAAAACGUAUUUGGAAAACUUCUGAUUAAAGAGAAAGAAUGAGUUAGAUACUGACAAUCACGUUCCUAGUCUAGUUUAAAAUUACCCGUCACCUUCAAGAAGAUGGAGAGUUCGCUGGAAUAUCUAUGUCUCCUGGACUUUAUCUUCCUUGAUGCAUACUCAUUUGAGAAGCCAAUCACACUUGGGAAAAUAUCACAGUAAACUCUCCUACUCAAAGUUGGGCAAAAUGCGUAAGUAGAUUUCAUCUACUGUAUGUGAAUGUUGGUGUGUGUCUCGGAGAGACAGGUGAGUUUGUUUCUCCUUUGGUAAUGUUUCUUUUCUAGGUUACAUUCACAGGCAAUUUUUAACUUCUUGCAGCGGCAGGAUUCCAGUGAUACUUGUGACAAUGGUGAGGAAGUAAGUCACUCUGCCUCCUGCUGGCCACAAACAGAAAGGUUGAGCUUUUGGCUUAUGACCAGAGGUCACAUUUCUCCUUCACAGACUUAAGAACUUAUGAAGGAAUGGAAGACUAAAAGGGAAAAGAAGAGUGGGCUUCCUUUUUUGCUUAGCCUAUACUAAGCUCUAGGUGUUAAUAAACUAGAUCAGAUUCCUUAUUUUGUGAACCAAAACCCGACGUUGACACAUCUUCUACACUAGCUACACAAACAAAAGGGAUGGACAGGAGUCCAGAAAAGCCCUGAUCUAUACACCAAUAUCCCUGUUCCCUCUCCCUGAGUGACGGAAGCGGCAAGCCCAGUCACAUCCUGUAUUAAGGGCCCCUGUUCCUUAAAACUCAGGGCCCCAUACCAGCUUCUCCCCUGAAUGCUGUCUUCAGUUUCAUUUUCUUCCCUUUCCCCAAACCCCAAUAAAACACACCAACUGCUUCAGAAUAUUUCUGGGUUGUGUUUUUUUGUGGGUCAUCUUCUUUUUUUUUUUUUAUUUCAAAUACUCAAAAAGUCCCCUGGGCUCUGUGGGGCUCCCCACGCUCAUGGCCCCUUUCCCCACACUCACUGCCCUUUUCCCCACAGCAAAUCUAUUUCAAGGACAGCACUUUUUAAAAUGAACAAUUAACAUUGGGUUCUCAGCUUGCUCUGCGGGACCAGAGGGGUUGUUUGCUUCUGUCAUCUUUAGAUGGACAGUUUCUUUUAUCUGNN
Molecule: long non-coding RNA, 7631 nt
Filed under: Lynx pardinus (Iberian lynx)
Lineage: Eukaryota; Metazoa; Chordata; Mammalia; Carnivora; Felidae
Source: RNAcentral